GAUGAACGCUAGCGGCAGGCUUAAUACAUGCAAGUCGAGGGACAGCACAGGUAGUAAUACUGGGUGGUAACCGGCAAACGGGUGCGGAACACGUACACAACCUUCCUUUAAGCGGGGGAUAGCCCAGAGAAAUUUGGAUUAAUACCCCGUAAUAUAGUUGAAUGGCAUCAUUUGAUUAUUAUAGCUACGGCGCUUAAUGAUGGGUGUGCGGCUGAUUAGAUAGUUGGCGGGGUAACGGCCCACCAAGUCUACGAUCAGUAGCUGAUGUGAGAGCAUGAUCAGCCACACGGGCACUGAAACACGGGCCCGACUCCUACGGGAGGCAGCAGUAAGGAAUAUUGGUCAAUGGACGCAAGUCUGAACCAGCCAUGCCGCGUGAAGGAUUAAGGUCCUCUGGAUUGUAAACUUCUUUUAUUUGGGACGAAAAAGGGCCUUUCUAGGUCAACUGACGGUACCAGAUGAAUAAGCACCGGCUAACUCCGUGCCAGCAGCCGCGGUAA
This 500-nucleotide ribosomal RNA is filed under the name uncultured bacterium. RNAcentral describes it as "partial 16S ribosomal RNA". It matches the Rfam family "Bacterial small subunit ribosomal RNA", at positions 28 to 523 of the family's 1533-position model. The record is from RNAcentral.